UACGGGGGGGGCAAGCGUUGUUCGGAAUUACUGGGCGUAAAGGGUUUGUAGGUGGCUUGCUAAGUCAGACGUGAAAUCCCUCAGCUCAACUGGGGAACUGCGUCUGAGACUGGCGAGCUCGAGUGCAGGAGAGGAACGCGGAAUUCCAGGUGUAGCGGUGAAAUGCGUAGAUAUCUGGAGGAACACCGGUGGCGAAGGCGGCGUUCUGGACUGCAACUGACACUGUAAAACGAAAGCCAGGGGAGCAAACGGG
This 253-nucleotide ribosomal RNA is filed under the name uncultured bacterium. RNAcentral's name for it is "partial 16S ribosomal RNA". It matches the Rfam family "Bacterial small subunit ribosomal RNA", at positions 524 to 776 of the family's 1533-position model. The record is from RNAcentral.